CCUACGGGUGGCAGCAGUGGGGAAUAUUGGGCAAUGGGCGCAAGCCUUACCCAGCAAUACCGCGUGAGUGAAGAAGGUCUUCGGAUUGUAAAGCUCUUUUAUCAGGGACGAACAGAUGACGGUACCUGAAGAACAAGCCCCGGCUAACUACUUGCCAGCAGCCGCGGUAAAACGUAGGGGGCGAGCGUUGUCCCGAAUGACUGGGCGUAAAGGGUGCGUAGGCGGCAUAAAAAGUUAGAAGGGAAAUACCCAGAGCUUAACUCGGGUGCUGCUUCUAAGACUGUUGAGCUUGAGUGUGGGAGAGGUUGAUGGAAUGCAUGGUGUAGCGGUGGAAUGCGUAGAGAUUA
This 347-nucleotide ribosomal RNA is filed under the name uncultured bacterium. RNAcentral describes it as "partial 16S ribosomal RNA". It matches the Rfam family "Bacterial small subunit ribosomal RNA", at positions 338 to 699 of the family's 1533-position model. The record is from RNAcentral.